This 46-nucleotide non-coding RNA is filed under the name Schistosoma margrebowiei. The record is from RNAcentral. Lineage: Eukaryota; Metazoa; Platyhelminthes; Trematoda; Strigeidida; Schistosomatidae.
UUACUGCUGAAGAGUCUCAGAAUAGAACGAAACGGCCGUCUAGUGC